This 466-nucleotide ribosomal RNA is filed under the name uncultured bacterium. RNAcentral describes it as "bacterial SSU rRNA". It matches the Rfam family "Bacterial small subunit ribosomal RNA", at positions 338 to 795 of the family's 1533-position model. The record is from RNAcentral.
CCUANGGGGGGCUGCAGUGAGGAAUUUUGCGCAAUGGGGGCAACCCUGACGCAGCAACGCCGCGUGAGUGAUGAAGGCCUUCGGGUCGUAAAGCUCUGUCAAGUGGGAAGAACCUAUUAUAUGUGAACAGCAUGUGAUACUGACGGUACCACUGAAGGAAGCACCGGCUAACUCCGUGCCAGCAGCCGCGGUAAUACGGAGGGUGCAAGCGUUAUUCGGAUUUACUGGGCGUAAAGGGCGCGUAGGCGGUUGGACAAGUCAGGUGUGAAAUCCCGGGGCUUAACUCCGGAAGUGCAUCUGAAACUGUGCGGCUGGAGUAUGGUAGAGGGAAGUGGAAUUCCUGGUGUAGCGGUGAAAUGCGUAGAUAUCAGGAGGAACACCGGUGGCGAAGGCGACUUCCUGGACCAAAACUGACGCUGAGGCGCGAAGGUGUGGGGAGCAAACAGGAUUAGAUACCCGGNUANUC